CCAAAGGCUCUUUUCAGAGCCACCCACAGUUUCAUGAGAGAACUG
This 45-nucleotide non-coding RNA is filed under the name Marmota monax (woodchuck). It matches the Rfam family "Histone 3' UTR stem-loop". From Rfam's summary of the family: The mRNAs of metazoan histone genes lack a poly-A tail. 3' end processing occurs at a site between a highly conserved stem-loop (modelled by this family) and a purine rich region around 20 nts downstream (the histone downstream element, or HDE). The record is from RNAcentral. Lineage: Eukaryota; Metazoa; Chordata; Mammalia; Rodentia; Sciuridae.